GAUGAAGAACGUAGCGAAAUGCGAUACGUAGUGUGAAUUGCAGAAUCCAGUGAAUCAUCGAAUCUUUGAACGCACAUUGCGCCCGCCAGUAUUCUGGCGGGCAUGCCUGUUCGAGCGUCAUUUCAACCAUCAAGCCCCCGGCUUGUGUUGGGGACCUGCGGCUGCCGCAGGCCCUGAAAAGCAGUGGCGGGCUCGCUGUCACACCGAGCGUAGUAGCAUACAUCUCGCUCUGGGCGUGCUGCGGGUUCCGGCCGUUAAACCACCUUCAUAACCCAAGGUUGACCUCGGAUCAGGUAGGAAGACCCGCUGAACUUAAGCAUAUCAAUAAGCGGAGGA
RNAcentral lists this unclassified non-coding RNA (336 nucleotides) under soil metagenome. RNAcentral's name for it is "partial contains 5.8S ribosomal RNA, internal transcribed spacer 2, and large subunit ribosomal RNA". The stretch from base 1 to 120 matches the Rfam family "5.8S ribosomal RNA", at positions 35 to 154 of the family's 154-position model. The record is from RNAcentral.